GACGAACGCUGGCGGCGUGCCUAAUACAUGCAAGUAGAACGCACAGUUUAUACCGUAGCUUGCUACACCAUACACUGUGAGUUGCGAACGGGUGAGUAACGCGUAGGUAACCUGCCUGGUAGCGGGGGAUAACUAUUGGAAACGAUAGCUAAUACCGCAUAAUAUUGAUUAUUGCAUGAUAAUUGAUUGAAAGAUGCUAUUGCAUCACUACCAGAUGGACCUGCGUUGUAUUAGCUAGUAGGUGAGGUAACGGCUCACCUAGGCGACGAUACAUAGCCGACCUGAGAGGGUGAUCGGCCACACUGGGACUGAGACACGGCCCAGACUCCUACGGGAGGCAGCAGUAGGGAAUCUUCGGCAAUGGACGAAAGUCUGACCGAGCAACGCCGCGUGAGUGAAGAAGGUUUUCGGAUCGUAAAGCUCUGUUGUAAGAGAAGAACGGGUGUGAGAGUGGAAAGUUCACACUGUGACGGUAGCUUACCAGAAAGGGGCGGCUAACUACGUG
This 505-nucleotide ribosomal RNA is filed under the name uncultured bacterium. RNAcentral describes it as "partial 16S ribosomal RNA". It matches the Rfam family "Bacterial small subunit ribosomal RNA", at positions 28 to 507 of the family's 1533-position model. The record is from RNAcentral.